UACGUAGGGGUGCAAGCGUUUAAUCGGAAUUACUGGGCGUAAAGCGUGCGCAGGCGGUUGUGCAAGACAGAUGUGAAAUCCCCGGGCUUAACCUGGGAAUUGCAUUUGUGACUGCACGGCUAGAGUGUGUCAGAGGGGGGGUAGAAUUCCAACGUGUAGCAGUGAAAUGCGUAGAGAUGUGGAGGAAUACCGAUGGCGAAAGGCAGCCCCCCCUGGGAUAACACUGACGCUCAUGCACGAAAAGCGUGGGGGAGCAAAACAGG
This 263-nucleotide ribosomal RNA is filed under the name uncultured bacterium. Its description in RNAcentral is "partial 16S ribosomal RNA". It matches the Rfam family "Bacterial small subunit ribosomal RNA", at positions 524 to 776 of the family's 1533-position model. The record is from RNAcentral.